RNAcentral lists this long non-coding RNA (223 nucleotides) under Homo sapiens (human). RNAcentral describes it as "HSALNT0141617". The record is from RNAcentral. Lineage: Eukaryota; Metazoa; Chordata; Mammalia; Primates; Hominidae.
CUCUCAAUAAAAAAGUUACUUUUUAUUGUCCACUUUUAUGUGGUCAAUUAUUUUGACUCAGGUAAAAGAAGAACAAUGCAGCAAGAGAAUUGAGGAUAUUUUUGAGAAUGGAUUCAACUUCUGGAUAGAUAAGGAUUAUCUACUAUGACAAAGGAGUAGAUUACAGCCACCUCUGACAAGGCAACCACAAACAAAUCAGUUCAACCUAAGCACUUCAAGGACA